CGGCUGAACGCGGUACAGCAGCUUGGGGCAGGGGUACAGUGUUGGCAUGUGGGAGUGUAGGAGCAGUGGAGGCAGGGCCUGGCUGAACACAGAACAAGAAACACGGGGUACAGCAACUUGGGACAGAGCUACAAGGAGCUGUUCUGCAUCCGUGGAGUUGAAAGGGUUUAUGGCUCAUAAAAAGAACUGACAAGCUGUAUUUCAUGAGGAUUGAUAUUGAUGAUGGGGGUCUGGUUUCCCCACUUGUGGGACAGUUUGGAAUGUACCAGCCAUGGAGUCCACUCUCCCUGAUGGCCUCAGCAUCUUCAAGGGCUCAAAUCCAGAGGAACCUUCCUGUGAUACCUCUGGCACUGACACCAUCUCCCUGCUCAGGAGAUCUAGAGCUCCUCUUGGAAUGUAUUUUCUUCUUCAGAUGAGGUGUUCUGGCCCUGUUUGCAACUGCAGAAAACCAGAACCAAUCUCUUUUUGGUUGUGCUGAGCUCCCACCUCAGACUGGGCACCUUCCCUCUGUGAGGGUGUAAAAUGCCAGAAACAAAGCCCCCCUUCAGCUCCUGUGCCCCUGCUUGCCCCACAUGGAACUGUGCAGGAUGGAACCCACGCCUUCUCUCGGGUCCCUGAGCUCUCAAUGCCUCCCUGAAAAAUCAGCCCAGCAACCAGCAAGGACCACAGGAAGAAAACCAGCAUGACCAAGGAGUCAUCCAGUCCUAGGGCAGCGCAGGUUGAUGGAACUUGAGGGACAAUUCAAUCUCCAUUCUUUGGUUUGCUGCUCCCAGCUAGAGCAGGAGCCUGUCUGUGAGAGCUGCCUUCAGGGCCACCGCUCCUUUUAUCAGCUGGGCCACUGCACCCGAUGCCACCUGCUUGUGACAAACCUGACACGAGGAAGUUCUGCCCUGGGCCUUGCCUGGCACUGCUCUGCAGUGACCAGCAGUCCUGGUGCUGCAUAUCCAUGGAUAAGGACACCAAUGUGAAUGCAGAACGUGGACAAAGCCCACGGUAAUGACUCAGGGCCUGCUCCUCAGUAAGGACACAUUAGCUGUAGGAACCACUUUUGUUGUGAAAUUCCAUUAUUCCAUGAGAUUUCUUUUGCAGUAAGGUCCUGAUCCCAGCUUCUGCACAAAGUGGAAACAGAUGAAGCUGCAGGAUGGUCUGAUACACAUUUUGCCUGUUUAAUGAGCU
This is a long non-coding RNA of Parus major (Great Tit), 1176 nucleotides long. RefSeq lists it as uncharacterized. Lineage: Eukaryota; Metazoa; Chordata; Aves; Passeriformes; Paridae. The record is from RefSeq and is a predicted model, not a curated record. The transcript has 3 exons.